RNAcentral lists this small RNA (160 nucleotides) under Gopherus agassizii (Agassiz's desert tortoise). Its description in RNAcentral is "TUC338 (ENSGAGG00000014103.1)". The record is from RNAcentral. Lineage: Eukaryota; Metazoa; Chordata; Testudines; Testudinidae.
UUGAUAGCUUUGGAGACUGAAGUCCUUUUUAUUCACAGUACAGGUACAAAGUAAGCUUACCCAUGCUGUCCUACCAAUGUGCUUCAAACUGAAGGCACCCUCUCUCCAGGCGUGAGAGGGGUAGUUCAUUCUCCAGGCCAAUUUUAAUUCUUUCCCUACA